This 253-nucleotide ribosomal RNA is filed under the name uncultured bacterium. RNAcentral describes it as "partial 16S ribosomal RNA". It matches the Rfam family "Bacterial small subunit ribosomal RNA", at positions 524 to 776 of the family's 1533-position model. The record is from RNAcentral.
UACGGGGGGUGCGAGCGUUGUCCGGAAUCACUGGGCGUAAAGGGCGCGUAGGCGGCUCAUGAAGGCUGUGGUGAAAGUCCGGGGCUCAACCUCGGAUCGGCCGUGGCGACUCGUGGGCUGGAGCACUGUAGAGGCGGGUGGAAUUCCGGGUGUAGCGGUGGAAUGCGUAGAGAUCCGGAAGAACACCAGUGGCGAAGGCGGCCCGCUGGGCAGUGGCUGACGCUGAGGAGCGACAGCGUGGGGAGCAAACAGG